RNAcentral lists this small nuclear RNA (60 nucleotides) under Erinaceus europaeus (western European hedgehog). RNAcentral's name for it is "U7 small nuclear RNA (ENSEEUG00000023707.1)". It matches the Rfam family "U7 small nuclear RNA". From Rfam's summary of the family: Animal histone pre-mRNAs are spliced by a different mechanism than nuclear pre-mRNAs and self-splicing introns. This processing involves the U7 snRNP, which contains only one RNA species: U7. The record is from Rfam by way of RNAcentral. Lineage: Eukaryota; Metazoa; Chordata; Mammalia; Eulipotyphla; Erinaceidae.
CAGUGUUACAGCUCUUUUAGACUUGUCUGGCAAGUCUUCUAGUCACUACCAGAAGCUCCC